GACGAACGCUGGCGGCGUGCCUAAUACAUGCAAGUCGAACGAGAGCGACCGGUGCUUGCACUGCUCAAUCUAGUGGCGAACGGGUGAGUAACACGUGGGUAACCUGCCCAUCAGAGGGGGAUAACAUCCGGAAACGGAUGCUAAAACCGCAUAGGUCUUCGAACCGCAUGGUUUGAAGAGGAAAAGAGGCGCAAGCUUCUGCUGAUGGAUGGACCCGCGGGGCAUUAGCUAGUUGGUGAGGUAACGGCUCACCAAGGCCGUGAUGCAUAGCCGACCUGAGAGGGUGAUCGGCCACAUUGGGACUGAGACACGGCCCAAACUCCUACGGGAGGCAGCAGUAGGGAAUCUUCCGCAAUGGACGAAAGUCUGACGGAGCAACGCCGCGUGAGUGAAGAAGGUUUUCGGAUCGUAAAACUCUGUUGUUAGAGAAGAACAAGUGCUAGAGUAACUGUUAGCGCCUUGACGGUAUCUAACCAGAAAGCCACGGCUAACUACGUG
RNAcentral lists this ribosomal RNA (498 nucleotides) under uncultured bacterium. Its description in RNAcentral is "partial 16S ribosomal RNA". It matches the Rfam family "Bacterial small subunit ribosomal RNA", at positions 28 to 507 of the family's 1533-position model. The record is from RNAcentral.